CCUAAUACAUGCAAGUCGAGCGAACAGAUAAGGAGCUUGCUCCUUUGACGUUAGCGGCGGACGGGUGAGUAACACGUGGAUAACCUACCUAUAAGACUGGGAUAACUUCGGGAAACCGGAGCUAAUACCGGAUAACAUAUUGAACCGCAUGGUUCAAUAGUGAAAGGCGGCUUUGCUGUCACUUAUAGAUGGAUCCGCGCCGUAUUAGCUAGUUGGUAAGGUAACGGCUUACCAAGGCAACGAUACGUAGCCGACCUGAGAGGGUGAUCGGCCACACUGGAACUGAGACACGGUCCAGACUCCUACGGGAGGCAGCAGUAGGGAAUCUUCCGCAAUGGGCGAAAGCCUGACGGAGCAACGCCGCGUGAGUGAUGAAGGUCUUCGGAUCGUAAAACUCUGUUAUCAGGGAAGAACAAAUGUGUAAGUAACUGUGCACAUCUUGACGGUACCUGAUCAGAAAGCCACGGCUAACUACGUGCCAGCAGCCGCGGUAAUACGUAGGUGGCAAGCGUUAUCCGGAAUUAUUGGGCGUAAAGCGCGCGUAGGCGGUUUUUUAAGUCUGAUGUGAAAGCCCACGGCUCAACCGUGGAGGGUCAUUGGAAACUGGAAAACUUGAGUGCAGAAGAGGAAAGUGGAAUUCCAUGUGUAGCGGUGAAAUGCGCAGAGAUAUGGAGGAACACCAGUGGCGAAGGCGACUUUCUGGUCUGUAACUGACGCUGAUGUGCGAAAGCGUGGGGAUCAAACAGGAUUAGAUACCCUGGUAGUCCACGCCGUAAACGAUGAGUGCUAAGUGUUAGGGGGUUUCCGCCUCUUAGUGCUGCAGCUAACGCAUUAAGCACUCCGCCUGGGGAGUACGACCGCAAGGUUGAAACUCAAAGGAAUUGACGGGACCCGCACAAGCGGUGGAGCAUGUGGUUUAAUUCGAAGCAACGCGAGAACCUUACCAAAUCUUGACAUCCUUUGACCGCUCUAGAGUUAGA
RNAcentral lists this ribosomal RNA (980 nucleotides) under Staphylococcus warneri. RNAcentral describes it as "bacterial SSU rRNA". It matches the Rfam family "Bacterial small subunit ribosomal RNA", at positions 47 to 1010 of the family's 1533-position model. The record is from RNAcentral. Lineage: Bacteria; Bacillati; Bacillota; Bacilli; Caryophanales; Staphylococcaceae.